This 270-nucleotide ribosomal RNA is filed under the name uncultured Eubacteriales bacterium. RNAcentral describes it as "uncultured Clostridiales bacterium partial 16S ribosomal RNA". It matches the Rfam family "Bacterial small subunit ribosomal RNA", at positions 70 to 339 of the family's 1533-position model. Lineage: Bacteria; Bacillati; Bacillota; Clostridia; Eubacteriales. The record is from RNAcentral.
CUUAGAGAGCUUGCUUUUUAAGCUUAGUGGCGAACGGGUGAGUAACGCGUGAGUAACCUGCCUUGUACAGGGGGAUAACAGUUGGAAACGGCUGCUAAUACCGCAUAAGCGCACAGCACCGCAUGGUGCAGGGGUAAAAACUCCAGUGGUAUGAGAUGGCCUCGCGUCUGAUUAGCUAGUUGGUGAGGUAACGGCCCACCAAGGCGACGAUCAGUAGCCGGACUGAGAGGUUGAACGGCCACAUUGGGACUGAGAUACGGCCCAGACUCC